Molecule: ribosomal RNA, 253 nt
Filed under: uncultured bacterium
Lineage: Bacteria
Description: partial 16S ribosomal RNA
Rfam family: Bacterial small subunit ribosomal RNA
Source: RNAcentral
UACGGAGGGGGCUAGCGUUGUUCGGAAUUACUGGGCGUAAAGCGCACGUAGGCGGCUUUGUAAGUUAGAGGUGAAAGCCCAGGGCUUAACCCUGGAAUUGCCUUUAAGACUGCAUCGCUAGAAUCGUGGAGAGGUGAGUGGAAUUCCGAGUGUAGAGGUGAAAUUCGUAGAUAUUCGGAAGAACACCAGUGGCGAAGGCAGCGAAUUGGCGCUAUAUUGACGCUCAGGCACGAAAGCAUGGGGAUCAAACAGG